RNAcentral lists this ribosomal RNA (251 nucleotides) under Salmonella enterica subsp. enterica serovar Typhimurium. RNAcentral describes it as "partial 23S ribosomal RNA". It matches the Rfam family "Bacterial large subunit ribosomal RNA", at positions 2131 to 2381 of the family's 2925-position model. The record is from RNAcentral. Lineage: Bacteria; Pseudomonadati; Pseudomonadota; Gammaproteobacteria; Enterobacterales; Enterobacteriaceae.
UUGAUGUGUAGGAUUGGCGGCAGGCUUUGACGUGUGGACGACACUCUGCAUGAAGCCGACCGUGAAAUACAACCCUUUAAUGAUUGAUGUUCUAACGAGGACCCGUAAUCCGGGUUGCGGACAGUGUCUGGAGGGUAGUUUGACUGAGGCGGUAUACUCCUAAAGAGUAACAGAGGAGAACGAAGGUUGGCUAAUCCUGGUCGGAAAUCAGGAGGGUAGUGCAAUGGCAUAAGCCAGCUUGACUGCGAGCG